This 227-nucleotide ribosomal RNA is filed under the name uncultured Synechococcus sp. Its description in RNAcentral is "partial 23S ribosomal RNA". It matches the Rfam family "Bacterial large subunit ribosomal RNA", at positions 1 to 241 of the family's 2925-position model. The record is from RNAcentral. Lineage: Bacteria; Bacillati; Cyanobacteriota; Cyanophyceae; Synechococcales; Synechococcaceae.
GGUCAAGCUACAAAGGGCUCACGGCGGAUACCUUGGCACACAGAGGCGAUGAAGGACGUGGUUACCUGCGAUAAGUCUCGGGGAGCUGGAAGCACGCUUUGAUCCGGGAAUUUCCGAAUGGGGCAACCCCUAGUACGGCCAGCUGAAUCCAUAGGCUGGCGCGAGCCAACCCAGCGAACUGAAACAUCUUAGUAGCUGGAGGAAAGGAAAGUAAAAACGACUCCCUA